Long non-coding RNA from Helianthus annuus (common sunflower), 1262 nucleotides. RefSeq lists it as uncharacterized. The transcript is spliced from 2 exons. Lineage: Eukaryota; Viridiplantae; Streptophyta; Magnoliopsida; Asterales; Asteraceae. The record is from RefSeq and is a predicted model, not a curated record.
GAGUAAAUUACACAACCAGACUUUCACAUUCUCUCUCAUUAUCUCUCUAACUUUAACUCCACCACCACCACAUCUGAAUCACCACCCACCCUCAAUAUCCCCAAAGAAUGAUUACUCUUUUAUAUCAAAUUACCACAUAGAAAAUCUAAACCCAUCUUGAAUGAUAAUGAUAAAAUUGAGGUCAAACCACCAUCCAAUUGGGUCAAAGUUCCAGAAGGAUUUCGUGAAAUGAGACCUUUAGAAGAUAUGGAAUGUGAGAAAGCUGGUAGUUCUCUUCCAAAGAAGAUAAAUAGUGACGAUUCCACCUUGAACGCACCGGAUCUUGGCUUUGCCGGCCGCAAUCUCCAUCUUCAUCGCACCUCUCUUUCCCUCUCUAAGAAUCUUUUUUUUUCUUUCUCCCUCCCUGCUUAGAUCUAAAAUCAAUUUGGGGGUUAGUGUCCAGAUGCAUGGUACACUUGGCGCCACCAGAUGCUCCACCUCUCCGCCGCCCAACAUCAACAGUUCAGCACCACAACCUACCCAUGUUACCAUCAGCCAGCACCACCGUCAAUACCUACCAAAGGGUUUCGAUUCAUAUUCCGGAAAAAAAAAUCAUUUUUACACCCCCUUUUCAUGUGUCAUUUGAUGCUUGUUUCAUUCAAUGUGCAGGGUUUCGAUUCAUAUGUUUGUAACUAAGCUGUUUUUAUGUAUGCCCACCAAGUGUUUGAUGAAAUUUUUUUGAAGCCAAAUUAGAGCUAGGGUAUGGUUUUGUUGCAGAUAAGAAGCAACGGCAUCCCGCUUGCAACUUCCGGGGGCUGAUGCGGUUCUGUUACGUGUGGAACUGGAGUGGUGUUUAGGGAGGUGUGUAGUGUGAAGAAUGGCGGGGAGUUCGAGUGAGGAAUCCGGGCAGCAGCGUUCCGGGGAGGCAAGUGAUGACUCAGACUGUGUAUUGGUCGUUCCAAUUUUCUGGCAAGGUUCCGACAUCUCAGGCGAGCGGUGAUGGUGGCGGGUGGAGUUCUUGAGUUCCAGAUAUAUACAGAGAGAGACAUUUUAUAUAUAUUUUAUUUUUAAGUUUUGUACAAAACAGUCCCUGUCCCUCUUUACAAAAUAGCCCCUGGGAACGUGAAUAGACAAAUAUGCCCUCAUAUGCAAUAUACAUGACCAGAUUUAACCAAAAAAUCUAACUGGGUUUGGCCUAAAGGACAUAACAUGCAAGAUUUUAGAAGGUUAAGGACAGCGCCUGUAAACUUUUGGAAAAAAAGGUGUGACAACCCUCACAAUUA